GCCGUUGCUUAUUCCUAAGGUACCGUCAAAAUUUCGUCCCUUAGAAAAGACUUUUACACCCCGAAGGGCUUCUUCAGUCACGCGGCGUCGCUGCAUCAGACUUUCGUCCAUUGUGCAAAAUUCCUCA
RNAcentral lists this ribosomal RNA (127 nucleotides) under uncultured bacterium. RNAcentral's name for it is "partial 16S ribosomal RNA". The record is from RNAcentral.